RNAcentral lists this small RNA (3053 nucleotides) under Pan troglodytes (chimpanzee). RNAcentral's name for it is "retained intron". The record is from RNAcentral. Lineage: Eukaryota; Metazoa; Chordata; Mammalia; Primates; Hominidae.
GAGAGAAGAGAGGAUGGAGGGUUUUUACAGAGAGAUCUGUCUCCUUUGGUUAAGUUUCCAUCACAGGCACAGGAAAUAUUAGAGUAACUGAGGGAGGUAACUAUGUGGAAGGAGGGAUGCUGUGGUUUGAAUGUGUCCCCUCCAAAAUUCAGAUGUUGCUACUGUGAUGGUAUUAAAAGGUGAGGCCUUUAGGAGGUGAUUAAGCCAUGAAGGCUCCUCUUUAUAAGGACCUUUUUGGGAUUAAGACUCCUCUUUAUAAGGCCUUUAUGGGAUUAAGGCCCUAAUAAAAGAGGUGUCAUGCAGCCAUUCAGUUAGCUUGCCCUUCUGUCUUCUUCCAUGUGAGGAUGCAGCAAGAAGGCCCUCACCAGACCAAAGGCCAGUGCCUUGAUCUCGGACUUCCCAGCCUCCAGAAUGGUCAUCUUUGCUUUGAACCAGACCCUCCUGCAGCAGGAGAGCCUGCGAGCAGGCAGUCUUCAGAUCCCCUACACGACGGAGGAUCUCAUCAAACACUAUAACUGCGGGGACCUCAGCUCCGUCAUCCUCAGCCAUGACAGCUCCCAGGUUCCCAAUUUUAUUAAUGCCACGCUACCACCUCAGGAGCGCAUCACUGCUCAGGAGAUUGACAGCUACUUACGCCGGGAGCUGAUCCACAAGCGGAAUGAGAGAAUAGGGAAGCGGGUGAAGGCCCUUUUGGAGGAAUUCCCUGACAAAGGCUUCUUCUUUGCCUUUGGAGCUGCUUCACAGUAGCCUUGAAAAUCAGGAGCCUUGAACUACAGUAGCUGUGAAAACCAUUUGCCUAAUGGUUACUGGAGGGGACAGAAUGGGUUCAAAGUUCCUCCAAAGCUCCAUCCUUAAAGAAUUAUCACUAUUUGACAUGUCCAAUAGUUCCCUGAAAUUUCCAUUCCCAAGCUUGUCUUCAUUUGACCUGACUCAGAGCUUGCUCUGUGUGAAUAGCCCUAUUCUUAGGGUGUGUGUUGAAAACAAUCAGUGGCAGCUGUUUAACAUCAUAGUUGCUGGAAAUAGCAAUAUUAAUUGAAGCUUACAAGGGGCUGCCCAAAAAACUUAAAAGCAAAAUCCCAUAGAGGGUAUAGAAAAGCUCUAAAAUAUUCCUAGAGAGCCACAUGCAUGAGAAGAGCUGUGCACAUGCCCAGGAAAGACCUGAGAAGGUCCUAAUCUCUCACCUCUGGCUGAUCUUGAGGCUCUGUGUAAGCAGAGUGUGAAAGCUAAGGCAAAGUCAUAAAUUGCCUGCUGAAGCAUCAAAUACAUGCCCCCAAACUCACACAGCCCCUCUGCAAAGGUUGGGAAACUUGCAAGGAAUUUAAGGAAAUCUCUGUUCAGUCAUUAGCCAGCCACUAAGCUAACUGAGCAGAUCCUUCAGUGAUCACACACAACAAAGAAUACAGACUUUACAGACUUAGUCCCAGAAAAUCACUACACAAACAGCAACAACAAUGCACUUGGGAAGAGGGGAGAGGAGAUGAGUUCCAGAGUUGGUAUAUUAUUUAAAUGUCUGGUUUUCAAUAAAAACAAUUAUAAGACACAGAGCAAAACUAGAAAGUAUGGCCCAUACCCAGGGAAAAACAAGCAACCAAUAGAAGCUGUCCUUGAGGAAGUUAAUAUCUUGGACUUACUAGAAAAUGACUUUAACACUAGUUAUUAUAAAUAUGUUCAAAAAACUAAAAGAGGCCAGGUGCGGAGGCUCACGCCUAUAAUCCCAGCACUUUGGGAGGCUGAAGCAGGUGGGUCACCUGAGGUCAGGAGUUUGAGACCAGCCUGACCAAUAUGGCAAAACCGUAUCUCUACUAAUAAUACAAAAAUUAGCCAGGCGUUGUGGCGCACACCUGUAAUCCCAGCUACUUGGGUGGCUGAAGCAGGAGAAUUGCUUGAAACUGGGAGGAAGAGGUUGCAGUAACCUGAGAUCACACCACUGUACUCCAGCCUGGGCCACAAGAGUGAAACUCCAUCUCCCCCCACCAAAAAAAAAAACCCUAAAAUUAACCAUAUCUAAAGAAUUAAAGGAAAGUUUGAGAACAAUAUCUCACCAAUACAGAAUAUCAAUACAAAUAUAAAAAUUAUUUUAAAAGAACCAAAUAGAAAUUCUGGAAUUGAAAGUGUAGGAACUGAAAUGAAAAAUUCACUACGGGGGCUGAACAGUAGAUUUGAACUGGCAGAAGAAGAAUCAACAUACAUGAAGAUAGGUUGAUUGAGAUGAUUCAGUAUGAGAAAGAGAAAGGAAAAGGAAUGAAGAAAAAUGAAUAGAUCUUCAGAUACCUGUGAGACACCCUCAAGUGUGCCAAUGUAUACCUAAUGGGAGUCCCAGAAGACAGGAGAGAAAAAAAGAAAGAAAUAAAAAGAAUAUUUGAAUUUAAAAUUGCUUGAAAAUGUCUCAAAUUUGAUGAAAAAUAUUACUCUGCACAUUCAACCCAUGAACUAUAAGUUGUAUAAAAUCAAAAAUUUCACACAAAGGCAUAUCAUAGCCAAACUGUCAAAAGCCAAAGACACAGAAUCUUGAAAGCAGUGAGAGCAAAGCAGACAAGGGAUCCCCAAUAGGAUUAACAGCAGAUUUCUCAUCAGAAGCCAUGCAAGCCAGAAGGCUAUGGGAGACAUACUCAAAAUGCUGAAAUAAAAGACUGUCAACAAACAUUUCCACAUCCAGCAAAAAUAAAAAACGAAGGAGAAAUCUGUUGCAUGUGAGCUGAAUAGAAUUUGUAUUCUGCUGUUGUUGGAUGAAAUAUUCUUUAAAUGUCAAUUAGAUCAGUUUGACUGAUGAUGCUCUUCAGUUCAACUAUAUUCCCUAUCUGAUAAUUCCAGAAUCUCUAUCAUGUCUGAGUCUGGGUCUCAUGCUUUCAUUGUUUCUUCAGAUUGUAAUUUUUCUUGCCUCCCAGCGUGACUUGUAAUUUUUAAUUGAAAGCUGGAUAUGAUGUAUUUGGCAAUGGGAAGUGAGGGAAAUAUGUUUUUAGUGUGAGGAUUUAUGUUAAUCUUUCUCAGAGUUGGGCUGUUUAAUGUUUUGCUGUGGUCUGAAUGUUCCUUAAAACUUGUGUGUUGAAACUUAA